UUAAGCGACUAAGCGUACACGGUGGAUGCCCUGGCAGUCAGAGGCGAUGAAGGACGUGCUAAUCUGCGAUAAGCGUCGGUAAGGUGAUAUGAACCGUUGUAACCGGCGAUUUCCGAAUGGGGAAACCCAGUGUGAUUCGUCACACUAUCAUUAACUGAAUCCAUAGGUUAAUGAGGCGAACCGGGGGAACUGAAACAUCUAAGUACCCCGAGGAAAAGAAAUCAACCGAGAUUCCCCCAGUAGCGGCGAGCGAACGGGGAGNCCAUCCUCCAAGGCUAAAUACUCCUGACUGACCGAUAGUGAACCAGUACCGUGAGGGAAAGGCGAAAAGAACCCCGGCGAGGGGAGUGAAAAAGAACCUGAAACCGUGUACGUACAAGCAGUGGGAGCACGCUUAGGCGUGUGACUGCGUACCUUUUGUAUAAUGGGUCAGCGACUUAUAUUCUGUAGCAAGGUUAACCGAAUAGGGGAGCCGAAGGGAAACCGAGUCUUAACUGGGCGUUAAGUUGCAGGGUAUAGACCCGAAACCCGGUGAUCUAGCCAUGGGCAGGUUGAAGGUUGGGUAACACUAACUGGAGGACCGAACCGACUAAUGUUGAAAAAUUAGCGGAUGACUUGUGGCUGGGGGUGAAAGGCCAAUCAAACCGGGAGAUAGCUGGUUCUCCCCGAAAGCUAUUUAGGUAGCGCCUCGUGAAUUCAUCUCCGGGGGUAGAGCACUGUUUCGGCAAGGGGGUCAUCCCGACUUACCAACCCGAUGCAAACUGCGAAUACCGGAGAAUGUUAUCACGGGAGACACACGGCGGGUGCUAACGUCCGUCGUGAAGAGGGAAACAACCCAGACCGCCAGCUAAGGUCCCAAAGUCAUGGUUAAGUGGGAAACGAUGUGGGAAGGCCCAGACAGCCAGGAUGUUGGCUUAGAAGCAGCCAUCAUUUAAAGAAAGCGUAAUAGCUCACUGGUCGAGUCGGCCUGCGCGGAAGAUGUAACGGGGCUAAACCAUGCACCGAAGCUGCGGCAGCGACGCUUAUGCGUUGUUGGGUAGGGGAGCGUUCUGUAAGCCUGCGAAGGUGUGCUGUGAGGCAUGCUGGAGGUAUCAGAAGUGCGAAUGCUGACAUAAGUAACGAUAAAGCGGGUGAAAAGCCCGCUCGCCGGAAGACCAAGGGUUCCUGUCCAACGUUAAUCGGGGCAGGGUGAGUCGACCCCUAAGGCGAGGCCGAAAGGCGUAGUCGAUGGGAAACAGGUUAAUAUUCCUGUACUUGGUGUUACUGCGAAGGGGGGACGGAGAAGGCUAUGUUGGCCGGGCGACGGUUGUCCCGGUUUAAGCGUGUAGGCUGGUUUUCCAGGCAAAUCCGGAAAAUCAAGGCUGAGGCGUGAUGACGAGGCACUACGGUGCUGAAGCAACAAAUGCCCUGCUUCCAGGAAAAGCCUCUAAGCAUCAGGUAACAUCAAAUCGUACCCCAAACCGACACAGGUGGUCAGGUAGAGAAUACCAAGGCGCUUGAGAGAACUCGGGUGAAGGAACUAGGCAAAAUGGUGCCGUAACUUCGGGAGAAGGCACGCUGAUAUGUAGGUGAAGUCCCUUGCGGAUGGAGCUGAAAUCAGUCGAAGAUACCAGCUGGCUGCAACUGUUUAUUAAAAACACAGCACUGUGCAAACACGAAAGUGGACGUAUACGGUGUGACGCCUGCCCGGUGCCGGAAGGUUAAUUGAUGGGGUCAGCGCAAGCGAAGCUCUUGAUCGAAGCCCCGGUAAACGGCGGCCGUAACUAUAACGGUCCUAAGGUAGCGAAAUUCCUUGUCGGGUAAGUUCCGACCUGCACGAAUGGCGUAAUGAUGGCCAGGCUGUCUCCACCCGAGACUCAGUGAAAUUGAACUCGCUGUGAAGAUGCAGUGUACCCGCGGCAAGACGGAAAGACCCCGUGAACCUUUACUAUAGCUUGACACUGAACAUUGAGCCUUGAUGUGUAGGAUAGGUGGGAGGCUUUGAAGUGUGGACGCCAGUCUGCAUGGAGCCGGCCUUGAAAUACCACCCUUUAAUGUUUGAUGUUCUAACGUGGACCCGUGAUCCGGGUUGCGGACAGUGUCUGGUGGGUAGUUUGACUGGGGCGGUCUCCUCCUAAAGAGUAACGGAGGAGCACGAAGGUUGGCUAAUCCUGGUCGGACAUCAGGAGGUUAGUGCAAUGGCAUAAGCCAGCUUGACUGCGAGCGUGACGGCGCGAGCAGGUGCGAAAGCAGGUCAUAGUGAUCCGGUGGUUCUGAAUGGAAGGGCCAUCGCUCAACGGAUAAAAGGUACUCCGGGGAUAACAGGCUGAUACCGCCCAAGAGUUCAUAUCGACGGCGGUGUUUGGCACCUCGAUGUCGGCUCAUCACAUCCUGGGGCUGAAGUAGGUCCCAAGGGUAUGGCUGUUCGCCAUUUAAAGUGGUACGCGAGCUGGGUUUAGAACGUCGUGAGACAGUUCGGUCCCUAUCUGCCGUGGGCGCUGGAGAACUGAGGGGGGCUGCUCCUAGUACGAGAGGACCGGAGUGGACGCAUCACUGGUGUUCGGGUUGUCAUGCCAAUGGCACUGCCCGGUAGCUAAAUGCGGAAGAGAUAAGUGCUGAAAGCAUCUAAGCACGAAACUUGCCCCGAGAUGAGUUCUCCCUGACCCUUUAAGGGUCCUGAAGGAACGUUGAAGACGACGACGUUGAUAGGCCGGGUGUGUAAGCGCAGCGAUGCGUUGAGCUAACCGGUACUAAUGAACCGUGAGGCUUAACCUU
RNAcentral lists this ribosomal RNA (2754 nucleotides) under Shigella sonnei. Its description in RNAcentral is "bacterial LSU rRNA". It matches the Rfam family "Bacterial large subunit ribosomal RNA". The record is from RNAcentral. Lineage: Bacteria; Pseudomonadati; Pseudomonadota; Gammaproteobacteria; Enterobacterales; Enterobacteriaceae.